UUGAGGUUCCCAGAAGACGACUGGGUUGAUAGGCCGGAACUGGAAGCACAGCAAUGUGUGGAGGCGACCGGUACUAAUACACCAAACAAACCAACA
This 96-nucleotide ribosomal RNA is filed under the name Corynebacterium coyleae. Its description in RNAcentral is "partial 23S ribosomal RNA". It matches the Rfam family "Bacterial large subunit ribosomal RNA", at positions 2828 to 2925 of the family's 2925-position model. Lineage: Bacteria; Bacillati; Actinomycetota; Actinomycetes; Mycobacteriales; Corynebacteriaceae. The record is from RNAcentral.